This 276-nucleotide ribosomal RNA is filed under the name Clostridioides difficile. Its description in RNAcentral is "partial 23S ribosomal RNA". It matches the Rfam family "Bacterial large subunit ribosomal RNA", at positions 1606 to 1895 of the family's 2925-position model. Lineage: Bacteria; Bacillati; Bacillota; Clostridia; Peptostreptococcales; Peptostreptococcaceae. The record is from RNAcentral.
UGUCAAGAAAAGUCUCUAUCGAGGUUAAAGGUACCCGUACCGCAAACCGACACAGGUGGGUGAGGAGAGUAUCCUAAGGCCAGCGAGAGAACUGUUGUUAAGGAACUCGGCAAAAUGACCCCGUAACGUAGGGAUCAGGGGUGCCACCAUCAGGUGGCCGCAGAGAAUAGGCCCAAGCGACUGUUUACCAAAAACAUAGGUUUCUGCUAAGUCGCAAGCAGAGGUAUAGGAGCUGACGCCUGCCCGGUGCCGGCAGGUUAAGGGGAUCUGUUAGAG